This is a ribosomal RNA of Pteropus vampyrus (large flying fox), 120 nucleotides long. NCBI's taxonomy places the organism in Eukaryota, Metazoa, Chordata, Mammalia, Chiroptera, Pteropodidae. The record is from Ensembl.
GGCAACGUCCACACAACCCUGAACAAGCCCGAUCUCAUCUGAUCUCGGAAGCUAAGCAGGGUCUGGGCCUGGUUAGUACUUGGGUGGGAGACCACCUAGGAAUAUCGAGUACUGUAGGCA